CAGUGAACAUGGAGGAUCCAGUAGCUAGUGACAUCCUGGUGCAGCGGUUUCGUGCAAUGCUUGCUAAGCAGGGUGUGACUGACUUCAGACUGACCUGGAGGAAGCUUCCAGAGAAGGAGACGCAAAACAAAAGAAAAGGUGAUUCUUGAACCCGUACAAACAACUCCCAGAAAGCUGCAACACAGCGUUUAUUUCUUUGUUUGCAUGUUGUUCUGUAAUUAUAAUUAGCCAGCUUUUAACCCUGCAAUGCCAAAUAUAUCAUGUUUGAUACUCGAGUUUUGAACCACCUGAAAUAUAAAAUGUU
This is a long non-coding RNA of Melanotaenia boesemani (Boeseman's rainbowfish), 304 nucleotides long. RefSeq lists it as uncharacterized. The transcript is spliced from 3 exons. Lineage: Eukaryota; Metazoa; Chordata; Actinopteri; Atheriniformes; Melanotaeniidae. The record is from RefSeq and is a predicted model, not a curated record.